Molecule: ribosomal RNA, 229 nt
Filed under: uncultured bacterium
Lineage: Bacteria
Description: partial 16S ribosomal RNA
Rfam family: Bacterial small subunit ribosomal RNA
Source: RNAcentral
UACGUAGGCGGAAGAUUAAGUCAGUGGUGAAAUCCUGCAGCUUAACUGUAGAACUGUCAUUGAUACUGGUUUUCUUGAAUUUAGUUGAGGUAGGCGGAAUGUGUAAUGUAGCGGUGAAAUGCUUAGAUAUUACACAGAACACCGAUUGCGAAGGCAGCUUACUAAACUAUGAUUGACGCUGAGGUACGAAAGCGUGGGGAGCGAACAGGAUUAGAUACCCGAGUAGUCC